This 645-nucleotide ribosomal RNA is filed under the name Triticum aestivum (bread wheat). RNAcentral's name for it is "partial small subunit ribosomal RNA". Lineage: Eukaryota; Viridiplantae; Streptophyta; Magnoliopsida; Poales; Poaceae. The record is from RNAcentral.
AUGAUUUCUUCGAUCUCCCCAGGCGACGGAGCACGCCGGGAUCGCCGAGCAGCGAGUACAUGCUCCCCAUUAGGUCUUGCGGUUUGGCUGAUGGAAGAAGGGGAACAUCAACCCGGACGGCUGAUGCAAACUCCGGCCUCCAUGGAUAGAGAGGUAGAGCAGAUGGGAGACGAAGGAGAAGCAGCAGUUCAUACUGGAUCAGUUCAGACGGCGUCAUCAACCAGGUCCACAUCACACACUUCCAGAAUUGCUAUUCAGAAAGUUAUAGAUGUGGUUGGUGCAUUAUCGGAUUACAAACGAUUCUUGGUCGAGGAGAUUGGUUUUGAUGGUGUGCUGCGCAUCCCCAUGAUUCAAAAAAUCAACCUGAAGUUCAGCAAGUUCCUCAUGAGCAAGGUCGUCGUGAAAGAUCACUGUAUUAUCUUGAGGGACGGUGGAACGCCGAUUACAUUCUACCCGGAGGAUUUCCACAAAGUUUUCAGCAUCCCAUGUGGAGAGCAAGACAUACACGGAAAGGAUGCUGAGAUCACACCUGAAGCAAUCGAGUUCAUCAGGAACUCUAUAGGUUGGGCUGACAAAUCUGACCGCAGUUUAAGCUCGGUCGAAGCGUUCAUCGGGAAGGAAAUAACUGAACUAUCAAGCCGAUGA